CCUACGGGAGGCAGCAGUGGGGAAUCUUGCGCAAUGGGCGAAAGCCUGACGCAGCCAUGCCGCGUGAAUGAUGAAGGUCUUAGGAUUGUAAAAUUCUUUCACCGGGGACGAUAAUGACGGUACCCGGAGAAGAAGCCCCGGCUAACUUCGUGCCAGCAGCCGCGGUAAUACGAAGGGGGCUAGCGUUGCUCGGAAUUACUGGGCGUAAAGGGAGCGUAGGCGGAUAGUUUAGUCAGAGGUGAAAGCCCAGGGCUCAACCUUGGAAUUGCCUUUGAUACUGGCUAUCUUGAGUAUAGGAGAGGUAUGCGGAACUCCGAGUGUAGAGGUGAAAUUCGUAGAUAUUCGGAAGAACACCAGUGGCGAAGGCGGCAUACUGGCCCAUUACUGACGCUGAGGCUCGAAAGCGUGGGGAGCAAACAGGAUUAGAUACCCUGGUAGUCCACGCUGUAAACGAUGAGUGCUAGUUGUCGGCAUGCAUGCAUGUCGGUGGACGCAGCUAACGACAUUAAGACACUCCGCCGUGGGGAGGUACGGUCGCAGAUUAAACUACGAAGAAGUUAGACGGCGUGAGACGUGCCGACGGACGACGACGAGGGAGGUUAGG
Molecule: ribosomal RNA, 604 nt
Filed under: uncultured bacterium
Lineage: Bacteria
Description: bacterial SSU rRNA
Rfam family: Bacterial small subunit ribosomal RNA (bases 1-520)
Source: RNAcentral